Molecule: non-coding RNA, 877 nt
Organism: Schizosaccharomyces pombe (fission yeast)
Lineage: Eukaryota; Fungi; Ascomycota; Schizosaccharomycetes; Schizosaccharomycetales; Schizosaccharomycetaceae
Source: the annotation of a GenBank genome assembly
AUAUAAAAGGGAAAAAAGGUGCGGCAUUUGAUUUUUUCCACUCGUAAUCAAUUCAUUGCUCUUUCUUCCUUCCAUGAUAACCAACCCUUUCGCUCAUUGUGUGUGAAAUAUGAAUCAGAGAUAAAGUCCUUAUUACAUAAAUGGGAUGCAGGAGAUGACCAGUCAGUUCUAUUCUAUCUUGAUAAAAGUCGUACUGUUGUCAUGAAGGGGUCAGGGGCGGCAAAGCUUGACGAUGGAGAGAGAGGAAGAAAGCACAAUCGACAAAGUAGAACUGAUAAGCAAAGCAAAGCAGAAUUGACAAAGCAAAACGGAAUUGAAAAAAGCACAGAUGAUGAGGAUUCAAAGGGAUGUAAAGCUGAAGAAAAGAAAAGAAAAAAAAAAGAAAAGGAAAAAAAAGAGGAUUUGUUUAUAUUUUCAUAAUUUUGAUUCAAUUGAUGUGUGUGUGUUUGUAUGUAAGUGUAAGUGUAAGUGUAUGUAUUGUUGUUUUUAUUUAUAUAUAUUUUUUUAUAUUUCAAUUCAUCCCUUUUCUCUUCCUCUCUCUCUCUCUCUCUCUUUCCCAUUUUCUCACUCUUUUUCGCUGUCUGGGUUUGCCUGUCUCGAUUGCUAAACGGUAACGCGGGAUUCUUAUCGUUGUACCACCAAUGUCAAGCGAAACUGUGGCACAUGCGAAAAAUUCCAUCGGCCAACUCUCUUGAAGUAGCACUCUCGUCAAUUCCUUCAACAAAUUUCUUCGAUAAGGAAAAACGCUAUUACACACGUGCAAACACUAACAAACGAAUGUUUGUGAUGUAUGUGCAAAGGGCUUUCUGUUGCCAGCACGACUAUCGUAAUAAAAAAGGAAAUUUUUUUUUCCUUUUUUUUUUUUUUCUUUUUUGUU